Molecule: ribosomal RNA, 468 nt
Filed under: uncultured bacterium
Lineage: Bacteria
Description: partial 16S ribosomal RNA
Rfam family: Bacterial small subunit ribosomal RNA
Source: RNAcentral
GACGAACGCUGGCGGCGUGCUUAACACAUGCAAGUCGAACGGAAAGGCCCUGCUUUUGUGGGGUGCUCGAUUGGCGAACGGGUGAGUAACACGUGAGUAACCUGCCCUUGACUUUGGGAUAACUUCAGGAAACUGGGGCUAAUACCGGAUAGGAUCUCCUGCUGCAUGUGGUGGGUUGGAAAGUUUCGGCGGUUGGGGAUGGACUCGCUGCUUAUGAGCUUGUUUGUGGGGUAGUGGCUUACCAAGGGUUUGACGGGUAGCCGGCAUGGGAGGGUGACCGGCGACAUGGGGCCUGAGAUACGGAGCAGAAUCGUACGGGACGCAGCAGGCGGGAAUAUGGCACAAUGGGCGGAAGCCUGAUGCAGAAACGCCGCGUGCGGGAUGACGGCCUUCGGGCUGUAAACAGAUUUCGAAUGUGACGAAGAGUGAGUGACGGUAAUGGGUAAAGAAGCACCGGCUAACUACGUG